This 207-nucleotide ribosomal RNA is filed under the name uncultured bacterium. RNAcentral's name for it is "partial 16S ribosomal RNA". It matches the Rfam family "Bacterial small subunit ribosomal RNA", at positions 568 to 774 of the family's 1533-position model. The record is from RNAcentral.
CGCGUAGGCGGAUGAGCAAGUCAGAUGUGAAAUUCCAAAGCUCAACUUUGGAGCUGCAUUUGAAACUGCUUAUCUUGAGGGGAGACGGAGAAAACGGAAUUCCACGUGUAGCGGUGAAAUGCGUAGAUAUGUGGAAGAACACCGGUGGCGAAAGCGGUUUUCUAGUUUUUACCAGACGCUGAGGCGCGAGAGGCAAGGGAGCAAACA